This 26-nucleotide ribosomal RNA is filed under the name Boeremia exigua var. exigua. Its description in RNAcentral is "partial 28S ribosomal RNA". Lineage: Eukaryota; Fungi; Ascomycota; Dothideomycetes; Pleosporales; Didymellaceae. The record is from RNAcentral.
UUGACCUCGGAUCAGGUAGGGAACCC